This 501-nucleotide ribosomal RNA is filed under the name uncultured Glomus. Its description in RNAcentral is "SSU rRNA". It matches the Rfam family "Eukaryotic small subunit ribosomal RNA", at positions 569 to 1074 of the family's 1831-position model. Lineage: Eukaryota; Fungi; Glomeromycota; Glomeromycetes; Glomerales; Glomeraceae. The record is from RNAcentral.
AGCAGCCGCAGUAAUUCCAGCUCCAAUAGCGUAUAUUAAAGUUGUUGCAGUUAAAAAGCUCGUAGUUGAAUUUCGGGAUCAGUACGCUGGUCGUGCCUUUGGUAUGUACUGGUGUCACUGAUUCCUCCCUUCUGAAGAACCGUUAUGCCAUUUAUUUGGUGUGGCGGGGAAUCAGGACUGUUACUUUGAAAAAAUUAGAGUGUUUAAAGCAGGCUCGCGCUUGAAUACAUUAGCAUGGAAUAAUGAAAUAGGACGUUUGAUCUUAUUUUGUUGGUUUCUAGGAUCGACGUAAUGAUUAAUAGGGAUAGUUGGGGGCAUUAGUAUUCAAUUGUCAGAGGUGAAAUUCUUGGAUUUAUUGAAGACUAACUACUGCGAAAGCAUUUGCCAAGGAUGUUUUCAUUAAUCAAGAACGAAAGUUAGGGGAUCGAAGACGAUCAGAUACCGUCGUAGUCUUAACCAUAAACUAUGCCGACUAGGGAUCGGAUGAUGUUAUUUUAAUGA